Talaromyces stipitatus ATCC 10500 is the source of this 82-nucleotide transfer RNA. It matches the Rfam family "tRNA". Rfam says of the family: Transfer RNA (tRNA) molecules are approximately 80 nucleotides in length. NCBI's taxonomy places the organism in Eukaryota, Fungi, Ascomycota, Eurotiomycetes, Eurotiales, Trichocomaceae. The record is from Rfam.
GGCGAGGUGGCAGAGUGGUCUAAUGCGCUAGACUAGAAAUCUAGUUCCUUCGGGAGCGUGUGUUCAAAUCACACCCUCGUCG